CAGCAGCCGCGGUAAUACGAGUGGUGCAAGCGUUAUUCGGAAUUAUUGGGCGUAAAGGGUGUGCAGACGGUUUGUUAAGUCACUUGUUAAAUUCUCCGGCUUAACCGGAGGCCAGCAUGUGAAACUAGCAGACUAGAGGGUGAGAGAGAGAAGUGGAAUUCUCGGAGUAGCGGUAAAAUGCGUAGAUCUCGAGAGGAACACCAAUGGCGAAGGCAGCUUCUUGGCUCACUCCUGACGUUCAUACACGAAAGCGUGGGGAGCAAACAGGAUUAGAUACCCCUGUAGUCCCAGUCUCUUAUAC
RNAcentral lists this ribosomal RNA (301 nucleotides) under uncultured bacterium. Its description in RNAcentral is "partial 16S ribosomal RNA". It matches the Rfam family "Bacterial small subunit ribosomal RNA", at positions 509 to 807 of the family's 1533-position model. The record is from RNAcentral.